GGUUGUAUAGUAUAGUGGUCAGUACGGCUCGUUGUGGUCGAAAGUCAACCCGCCUCCUUUCGGGGGGGACAAUGGUCUUCUUCAAUUUAGGACGAAAGAUUAUAAUACCGAGCAGACUCAGGUUCGAUUCCUGAUACAGCCA
This is a non-coding RNA of Poronia punctata, 142 nucleotides long. The record is from the annotation of a GenBank genome assembly. Lineage: Eukaryota; Fungi; Ascomycota; Sordariomycetes; Xylariales; Xylariaceae.